This 918-nucleotide ribosomal RNA is filed under the name Penicillium catenatum. RNAcentral describes it as "LSU rRNA". It matches the Rfam family "Eukaryotic large subunit ribosomal RNA", at positions 38 to 966 of the family's 3401-position model. The record is from RNAcentral. Lineage: Eukaryota; Fungi; Ascomycota; Eurotiomycetes; Eurotiales; Aspergillaceae.
GCAUAUCAAUAAGCGGAGGAAAAAGAAACCAGUGAGGGGAUUGCCCCAGUAACGGCGAGUGAAGCGGCAAGAGCUCAAAUUUGAAAGCUGGCUCCCUUCGGGGUCCGCAUUGUAAUUUGCAGAGGAUGCUUCGGGAGCGGUCCCCCAUCUAAGUGCCCUGGAACGGGACGUCAUAGAGGGUGAGAAUCCCGUAUGGGAUGGGGUGUCCGCGCCCGUGUGAAGCUCCUUCGACGAGUCGAGUUGUUUGGGAAUGCAGCUCUAAAUGGGUGGUAAAUUUCAUCUAAAGCUAAAUAUUGGCCGGAGACCGAUAGCGCACAAGUAGAGUGAUCGAAAGAUGAAAAGCACUUUGAAAAGAGAGUUAAAAAGCACGUGAAAUUGUUGAAAGGGAAGCGCUUGCGACCAGACUCGCUCGCGGGGUUCAGCCGGCAUUCGUGCCGGUGUACUUCCCCGCGGGCGGGCCAGCGUCGGUUUGGGCGGUCGGUCAAAGGCCCUCGGAAGGUAACGCCCCCUCGGGGGCGUCUUAUAGCCGAGGGUGCAAUGCGACCUGCCUGGACCGAGGAACGCGCUUCGGCUCGGACGCUGGCAUAAUGGUCGUAAGCGACCCGUCUUGAAACACGGACCAAGGAGUCUAACAUCUACGCGAGUGUUCGGGUGUCAAACCCGUGCGCGCAGUGAAAGCGAACGGAGGUGGGAACCCUUUUGGGUGCACCAUCGACCGAUCCUGAAGUCUUCGGAUGGAUUUGAGUAAGAGCGUAGCUGUUGGGACCCGAAAGAUGGUGAACUAUGCCUGAAUAGGGCGAAGCCAGAGGAAACUCUGGUGGAGGCUCGUAGCGGUUCUGACGUGCAAAUCGAUCGUCGAAUUUGGGUAUAGGGGGCGAAAGACUAAUCGAACCAUCUGGUAGCUGGUUCCUGCCGAAG